AGUGACGAGUGAGUGGUUGAAGAAAGUGGAGCGGAUUCGCUCACAGGAAGGACACUGCACCACCCGCUCCAGCACGGGUGGCCCUUGAGGACGGUGUGCGGAGGGAGGGGAGCGGGUCACAAGAGGGCGAGGGCCGUGUGAUUCCUCCCACGAGGGGACCGAGAGUCGCCAGCCUCAGAGGCAGGAAGCAGGACAGAGGCGAGUCGUUAUGGUGGAGAGAAUGAGACAGGGUUUCACUCCGGGAAGAGGAAAAGUUCUGCGGACGGACAGCGGUGGUGGUUGCCCGGCAGCGUGAAAGCACCUGAUGCCCCCGAACCGUUCACUUAAAGUGGUUAAAAUAGCAAAUUUUGUGGGCGCCUGGGGGGCUCAGUGGGUUGCGCGUCCGACUUCAGCUCAGGUCAUGAUCUCGCGGUUCGUGGGUUCCAGCCCCGCGUCGGGCUCUGUGCUGACGGCUCGGAGCCUGGAGCCCGCUUCGGAUUCUGUGUCUCCCUCUCUCUCUCUGCCCCUCCCCUGCUCACGCUCUGCCUCUGUCUGUCUCAAAAAUAAACAUUAACAAAAAUUUUUUUAACUAGUAAAUUUUGUGUUAUGUGUAUUUGACCUCAACAAAAAUUUUUUAAUCAACUUCACCUGUUUCUUUAUCUUUACGUGUACAUUUUUUUCUACUAGAAUAUUUAUACAUUUAAAUUUAUGUGCUGAUUAUGUUAUUAUUUAUUAAUUAUUUAUAAAGAUUCCACUAGCACAUUGAAGAUGACUGAUGUGACGAUUUAUGGCUCUUGGACAGCACUGGGCCAGAGGGAACCAGGUACUUAAUUGACAAACAUUUAGUGACCAGCUCUACACAAGGAAAUCCAGCAAACACUACCUCAGCCAAAUGAUCAAGGUUAACGCCACCGAUAAUAACAUAUACCGAUGUCGUGCCCCUGCUACGCGGCACAGAGGACGCACAUCACCUCCGAUCUACCGGUGAGAGCGACAGACCUGAACUCGAGGGCUUUCGACAAAAUACCUGACCCGUGUUCUUCAAAAGUGUCAAGUUCCGAAGGAAAAGGAAAGACUGAGGAGCUGUCAUAUCUUGGAAGGAAUUAAAGAGAAAAAGUUAAAUGCUUUGUGGCAAGGUGAGAUCUGACUCCGGUCCAGUUGAUAGCAUGGGGCAGAUGUUCCUUCUUACCCUUGGGGAACCGCCACGGCGAGGGGAGGUGUGGCCACAGGAGGCAAGUGGUUGAAGGUCAUACAACUACCGUCAUCUAUCUCCGCAACAUUUCUGUAAGCCUCAAAUUACAUCGAAAUUUACGAGUGGAUACAAAUAAAGGCACGCAGGUCAGACCCACUCGGGCCGCUCUCUGGCCACCGGCACAAAGCCCAACCUCGCCGGCUCUGUGCGCCCCCCGUCUCACCCCCAGUCUCCUGUCCAAGGCCAGCCAGAGUCAGGAGCACUCGGCCACCUCUGUCCCACUUUCUGGAGAGCCGAGAUGGGUUGUUUAUGUGGGGGGCAUGUAGAGAAGUCCUUACUAGGUUUUAUUAAAUGAGAAAAGGAGUGAGUGCUCAUUGCGUAAAGUCAAAGAAAGCACGUGAAUGAGAGAAACAGCAGUAAACAGUUCGCCUCCCCCAAUAUAUUCCCUCCCCAGAGGCGACCAGGUACCAGUGGGCGGCCAGCUUCCCUGUGCUUCUCCACGCUCUGCAAACGCAGGUGCACAGGUUCAUGUGGCUUCCUCUCCUACCUUUGCAAAGACACGGGGUCGUCUCCCAGGUGUUAUCCUGAAACUGGGCUUUCCUCACCCAACAAUGCCUCGUGGGCACUUCUUAGAAUUAUAGAUGUGUAACUCCUGCCCGUGUGCAAAUAGCUGCAGGAUAUUUCAACAUCCUACAUUAUGACUGCACUAGAGUCUAUCAGCCACGCUCCUACGGAUGGACUCACGCCAUUGCCAAUGUUGCCGCAGAAACAAUGAGUCCGUGUCUAUCGGCAGUCUCGUUUCUGAAGAAGAGUCCCUAAAUGGGAUGGCUAAGACAAAGGACGCAAACAUGGUUACUUUAAUAAACAUCCUCGGAUGACUCCGCAUAGUGGGUUUAGCGGUCACAUCCCCACCGGCGACGGAUGGACGGAUGGAGCCCCGUGUCUCAACCCCUCACGUGCCUUCGUGCACUCAGCAGGGCUUCAUUGUAAGGCCAAUGUGCCCCCUCCAUUAAAGUGUUUCUUUUGUUGUGUA
Molecule: long non-coding RNA, 2204 nt
Organism: Panthera uncia (snow leopard)
Lineage: Eukaryota; Metazoa; Chordata; Mammalia; Carnivora; Felidae
Exons: 2
Source: RefSeq, a predicted model, not a curated record